AUACGAAGGGGGCUAGCGUUGUUCGGAAUUACUGGGCGUAAAGCGCGCGUAGGCGGACUGAUCAGUUGGGGGUGAAAUCCCAGGGCUUAACCCUGGAACUGCCUCCAAUACUGUCAGUCUUGAGUUCGGGAGAGGUGAGUGGAAUUCCUAGUGUAGAGGUGAAAUUCGUAGAUAUUAGGAAGAACACCAGUGGCGAAGGCGGCUCACUGGCCCGAUCCUGACGCUGAGGCGCGAAAGCGUGGGGAGCAAACAGGAUUAGAAACCCUAGUAGUCC
Molecule: ribosomal RNA, 274 nt
Filed under: uncultured bacterium
Lineage: Bacteria
Description: partial 16S ribosomal RNA
Rfam family: Bacterial small subunit ribosomal RNA
Source: RNAcentral